CGGGGCGUGGGAAAGCCUGGUUAAUCCGUCUGCUUUGGGAGCAGAAGACCCUCAGUUCGAAUCUGAGCGCCCCGACCA
RNAcentral lists this transfer RNA (78 nucleotides) under Salipiger aestuarii. RNAcentral describes it as "tRNA-Pro". It matches the Rfam family "tRNA". From Rfam's summary of the family: Transfer RNA (tRNA) molecules are approximately 80 nucleotides in length. Their secondary structure includes four short double-helical elements and three loops (D, anti-codon, and T loops). Further hydrogen bonds mediate the characteristic L-shaped molecular structure. tRNAs have two regions of fundamental functional importance: the anti-codon, which is responsible for specific mRNA codon recognition, and the 3' end, to which the tRNAs corresponding amino acid is attached (by aminoacyl-tRNA synthetases). tRNAs cope with the degeneracy of the genetic code in two manners: having more than one tRNA (with a specific anti-codon) for a particular amino acid; and 'wobble' base-pairing, i.e. permitting non-standard base-pairing at the 3rd anti-codon position. The record is from RNAcentral. Lineage: Bacteria; Pseudomonadati; Pseudomonadota; Alphaproteobacteria; Rhodobacterales; Roseobacteraceae. RNAcentral also lists the same sequence under 1 other name.